CAUUACAGAAGGAUAUCGCCCUCGGGCUUCUCUUCUCACCCUUUGUUUACCACACGUAGUUGCCUUGGCGCGGAGCGCCAGUGGAUCGAAACUCCUGAAUCAUUGCCGUCUGAGUACUAUUCAAUAGUUAAAACUUUCAACAACGGAUCUCUUGGUUCUGGCAUCGAUGAAGAACGCAGCGAAAUGCGAUAAGUAAUGUGAAUUGCAGAAUUCAGUGAAUCAUCGAAUCUUUGAACGCACAUUGCGCCCUCCGGUAUUCCGGGGGGCAUGCCUGUUCGAGCGUCAUUACAACCCUCAAGCUCUGCUUGGUGUUGAGCCCGCCCCGGCCUGCCCGGGGCUCGCUUCAAAGUCAGUGGCGGCCGCCGUCCGACCUUCAGCGCAGUAAUGCUCGCCGCUGUUAGGGAAGGGUAGCAAGGGCCGUCAUACAACCCCCACACACAAGGUUGACCUCGGAUCAGGUAGGGAUACCCGCUGAACUUAAGCAUAUCAAUAAGCGGAGGAAAAGAAACCAACAGGGAUUGCCUCAGUAACGGCGAGUGAAGCGGCAACAGCUCAAAUUUGAAAGCUGGCUCCUUCGGGGCCCGCGUUGUAAUUUGUAGAGGAUGCUUCGGGCGCGGCGCCGGUCUAAGUUCUCUGGAACGAGACGUCAUAGAGGGUGAGAAUCCCGUAUGUGACUGGCUGCCUGUGCCCAUGUGAAGCUCCUUCGACGAGUCGAGUUGUUUGGGAAUGCAGCUCAAAAUGGGAGGUGUACUCCUUCUAAAGCUAAAUAUUGGCCAGAGACCGAUAGCGCACAAGUAGAGUGAUCGAAAGAUGAAAAGCACUUUGGAAAGAGAGUUAAACAGUACGUGAAAUUGUUGAAAGGGAAGCGCUUGCAAUCAGACUUGCGCGGCGUCGAUCAGCCUGGGUUCUCCCUGGUGCACUCGGCGCCGCUCAGGCCAGCAUCAGUUUCGGCGGUGGGAUAAAGGCCUAGGGA
This 973-nucleotide ribosomal RNA is filed under the name Leotiomycetes sp. genotype css044. Its description in RNAcentral is "eukaryotic LSU rRNA". The stretch from base 445 to 973 matches the Rfam family "Eukaryotic large subunit ribosomal RNA", at positions 1 to 533 of the family's 3401-position model. The record is from RNAcentral. Lineage: Eukaryota; Fungi; Ascomycota; Leotiomycetes.